Zingiber officinale is the source of this 508-nucleotide long non-coding RNA. RefSeq lists it as uncharacterized. The transcript has 3 exons. NCBI's taxonomy places the organism in Eukaryota, Viridiplantae, Streptophyta, Magnoliopsida, Zingiberales, Zingiberaceae. The record is from RefSeq and is a predicted model, not a curated record.
CCGAUCCACCCUAAGUGCCGCUCCGAUCCUCUCCCUUUCUCUUCCCUUAGCUGCUCUCGUCAUCGCUGCUUUUCUCCUUGCUCCUCCCUAAUCUGCUCUCGUCGGCGCUCCUCUCCCUUUCUCCUCCCUCUACUCUCGUUCGUUGCCGCUCCUCUCCUUAAUCUGCUCUCAUUGUCGCUGGGAUCUUCACCCACGCUCACGCAUACCUGUGCCGCCGUCAGCCUCCACCACGAUUCCUCCACAGCACUGCCUACACGCCGUGAUUCUGCCUUUCUCCUCCCAAACUCAUUCUUGUCGUCGCUGCUCCCUAAUCUGCGGAUCUCACCGUGAUUUGUUGUGGAUUGGAAGUUUUGAUAGUCACCUUGCUCCUUUCUACAUAAUCGAAUCAAACAGAUAUUAGAUCAUCAUGGUGUCACCUAGGAUAUCCACUAGAAGCAACACGAUCAUCAGAAAACUACAACAUACUCAAAAGAUAAACUAAAAUUUCACAUGAUCUUGUUAUACCAAC